UAUUAAAAAUUUCAUCUAUUUUUACUGUUAAAAACUUAUGUGGUUAAUGGAAUAACUAGAAAGUGACAUUUGUUGUGUCAAGUGUAUCCCAUGUUGAAGUACAGAAAUCAAUUUUAAUUUUAAUAGCAAAAAUGGAUAAAAUUUUUUAACG
Molecule: non-coding RNA, 151 nt
Organism: Gossypium arboreum
Lineage: Eukaryota; Viridiplantae; Streptophyta; Magnoliopsida; Malvales; Malvaceae
Source: Rfam